UCUCCGAUAGCGUAGUUGGUAGCGCGUGAGACUGUUAAUCUCGAGGCCGCAGGUUCGAGCCCUGCUCGGAGAG
Non-coding RNA from Gorgonomyces haynaldii, 73 nucleotides. The record is from the annotation of a GenBank genome assembly. NCBI's taxonomy places the organism in Eukaryota, Fungi, Chytridiomycota, Chytridiomycetes, Rhizophydiales, Gorgonomycetaceae.